RNAcentral lists this long non-coding RNA (508 nucleotides) under Vigna radiata. RNAcentral describes it as "long non-coding RNA (VRAD_LNC002491)". Lineage: Eukaryota; Viridiplantae; Streptophyta; Magnoliopsida; Fabales; Fabaceae. The record is from RNAcentral.
GCAGAACAAAACAAUGAAUGCCGCUACGGAAUAAAAACACGUUAACAUUGAUUGCCUAUAUAAAUGUAAAGAUUUUUAUUAUAUUUUUGAAGUAGGACUUUUACGGAGGUGCAGAAAGAAAAACAGGAAACUCAAGAGAGAAGCACCAAAAGCUUAGGCGUGACGCUUAAGCCGCGUUGCAAUGGGCCCAACUCCAAAUAAGGGCCUAACUCGUCUCACACCCUGGACCCAAACAUAAAAAAAUCCGGGAGUUACUCCCUGUACCUCCCCAAUUCCAACCCCCACCCCCCAAUUUUUUUGGAUUUUUUUUUAAAUACAAAAUUAAUCUUUAUGUUUUUUUUAUUUUUACCGUUUUACACCUAUUUACUAAAGUUAACCUACUCUUUUACAGUUUGCCUCAGUCAAAACACACAGACUCAAAUUUCUCUCCUUCGUAUUCCCACCCCCACCCCCACCAAAGCUUUUGAAACGCUCCUCCUCCAAAUACUCUCUGCAACUCUCACUCUCC